Molecule: ribosomal RNA, 578 nt
Filed under: uncultured bacterium
Lineage: Bacteria
Description: bacterial SSU rRNA
Rfam family: Bacterial small subunit ribosomal RNA
Source: RNAcentral
CCUACGGGAGGCAGCAGUGAGGAAUAUUGGACAAUGGGCGCAAGCCUGAUCCAGCCAUGCCGCGUGCAGGAAGAAGCAUCUAUGGUGUGUAAACUGCUUUUGUACGGGAAGAAACAACUGCUACGUGUAGCAGCUUGACGGUACCGUAAGAAUAAGGAUCGGCUAACUCCGUGCCAGCAGCCGCGGUAAUACGGAGGAUCCAAGCGUUAUCCGGAAUCAUUGGGUUUAAAGGGUCCGUAGGCGGUUUGGUAAGUCAGUGGUGAAAGCCCAUCGCUUAACGAUGGAACGGCCAUUGAUACUGCCAGACUUGAAUUACUAGGAAGUAACUAGAAUAUGUAGUGUAGCGGUGAAAUGCUUAGAUAUUACAUGGAAUACCAAUUGCGAAGGCAGGUUACUACUAGUUUAUUGUACGCUGAUGGACGAAAGCGUGGGGAGCGAACAGGAUUAGGUACCCUGGUAGUCCACGCCGUAAACGAUGGAUACUAGCUGUUCGGGGUAACCUGAGUGGCUAAGCGAAAGUGAUAAGGUAUCCCACCUGGGGAGUACGUUCGCAAGAAUGAAACUUAAGGAAGUUGAGG